This 518-nucleotide long non-coding RNA is filed under the name Callithrix jacchus (white-tufted-ear marmoset). RNAcentral's name for it is "lncRNA (ENSCJAG00000075566.1)". The record is from RNAcentral. Lineage: Eukaryota; Metazoa; Chordata; Mammalia; Primates; Cebidae.
GGGUACUAUCCAGGGGCUGCUUCCUGCGUGGACCUGCUGCCCAAACCCAGUUCCGUGAUACAAAGAUGCGUCCCUACUCGUUUUAUUUACUCAAGAGGAAACACCCAAGAGUCACUGUGAGAGUUCCUCAAGGAAAGAAACGGGAAGAAAGGAGGAAAAAGAACUUAAGAAAGUAAAGAAAGAGACUGUCACAGUGACCAUUCCUCUGCUAUCAAUCAUUGGUGGCGGUGGAGGAGGUGAGUGGGGAGAGACCAGGAGGGGUGCAGGAAGGUCCCAAGCUGCUUGUGGAAGAGCUGAAAGUUUCCAUUUCUAUUCAAAUAUUAUUAGCAUGAUGGGAAAGAGCCAUUUCCCAAGCUUUCUUACAAGUGAUUUUCACCAGGAAUGCAGCUUCAUGUGCUGUUUCUUUUCUUUCUCUCUAACUCUCACUAGUGCCACACACAUCUUAAUCAUGUAUCUUGUCGCCGGCAACCUAGGAUUAUUAUUUUUUUUCUUGACCAAUUUAUACUGAUUGUGUGGGA